RNAcentral lists this long non-coding RNA (378 nucleotides) under Mytilus galloprovincialis (Mediterranean mussel). The record is from RNAcentral. Lineage: Eukaryota; Metazoa; Mollusca; Bivalvia; Mytilida; Mytilidae.
UUUUAACUCUUCUAUUGGGGUUAGACAAGGGGAUGUUUUAAGCCCUGCCCUUUUUAAUCUAUUUAUAAAUGAUCUACCUAAUUGUUUACUAAAUUGUCCUGAUAGUGUAAAACUUAGCACUAGUCGCAUAGACUGUCUUAUGUAUGCAGAUGAUGUCAUUGUAUUUUCUGAUUUUGCUGAUGGACUUCAAAAGCGCUUGAAGGCAUUAUAAUCAUACUGUAAUACCUGGUGCCUAAAUGUAAACUUAAAAAAAACUAAAGUUUUAAUUUUUAAUAAAAGUGGACGCCAUAUAAAAGAACCAUUCUAUUUUAAAAAUGAAUUAAUUGAAACUGUUUUCAAAUAUAAAUACUUUGGAGUUAUAUUCCAGUCAAGUGGCCU